CCUACGGGGGGCAGCAGUGAGGGAUAUUGGUCAAUGGACGAGAGUCUGAACCAGCCAAGUCGCGUGAAUGAUGACUGCCCUAUGGGUUUUAAACUUCUUUUAUAUGGGAAUAAAACAGGGUAUGCAUACCCUCUUGUAUGUACCAUAUGAAUAAGGAUCGGCUAACUCCGUGGCAGCAGCCGCGGUAAUACGGAGGGUCCGAGCGUUAUACGGAUUGACUGGGUUUAAAGGGAGCGUAGGUGGAUGGUUAAGUCAGUUGUGAACGUUCGCGGCUCAACACUAAAAUUGCAGUUGAAACUGGCAGUCUUGAGUACAGUAGAGGUGGGCGGAAUUCGUGGUGUAGCGGUGAAAUGCUUAGAUAUCAGGAAGAACUCCGAUGGCGAAGGCAGCUCACUGGACUGCAACUGACACUGAUGCUCGAAAGUGUGGGUAGCAAACAGGAUUAGAUACCCUUGUAGUC
Molecule: ribosomal RNA, 460 nt
Filed under: uncultured bacterium
Lineage: Bacteria
Description: partial 16S ribosomal RNA
Rfam family: Bacterial small subunit ribosomal RNA
Source: RNAcentral